RNAcentral lists this long non-coding RNA (771 nucleotides) under Citrus x clementina. RNAcentral's name for it is "Citrus clementina (C. clementina) long non-coding RNA (CCLE_LNC004664)". Lineage: Eukaryota; Viridiplantae; Streptophyta; Magnoliopsida; Sapindales; Rutaceae. The record is from RNAcentral.
UUUCUGUGCAGUCAAUCAUAGUUUUUGUAAGGCAGCCAAUGACCAAUAAAGGAUACGAGUCAAUAAUGGACAAGCAAAUUCUAAGCCUCCCAAUCCCCACCAAAGAAUAAGAGAUUUGGCAAAUAAAACCAUUAACAGCAUUGAUACUUAUCCAAGAAGCAUAUCAGCGAAACUUCAUAAACAUAUUAAUUACCAAAUGAAUUUAGGUUUACAACCUUUUUUACACUCUCCAGUUCAUUAUUUAGGUUUAUAACUUUCUUACAUUCUACAGUUCAUUAUUAUUUAUUUUAUUUUUUUGGGGGGGUGGGGGGGUAAGGAUAAUUAUUUUAUAUCUAAAACCUGCUGGAUGAGUAGCCAUAUCAGUUUGGUCAGGAUCCAAUAAUAUAGCUGAAGAAACUUGAAUAACAUCAGAAAUCACUUACAGGAGGCAACGGAGAUCUGGAUCUUGAUCGUGAUCUGCAAAAGUUCCACAAACAACCCAAAUUUAAAAUCCACUCGUUCCUUUUAAGAACUUUCAUCCAAGAGCCUUGUGCCUCUUCCACGUCAAGAUUUUACCAUAUUUAAAAGGGAAUAAAGAGAGGGGGCAAAAAAAAAAACUUUAGCAGCUCAACACAGAACAAAAUAUCAGAGUUAAUUCAUAAAUUUCCAUCCACAAAUAAUACCUAACUUCAGAAAAAUAAACCUUAUUAAAGAAUACUGCAUUUUUAAGACACCAGUGGACAUGAGAGAACCAUGCUUCCCUACUGUACCACCAAAUAUCCAAGAGAAUCC